AGAGCAGAAUUUGACUCAAAUCCUAGCCACUGCCCAGGUUCAGCACAGAGAGCAACUUUGUAAACUUUUGCCUACACACUUUGUUGCCAGCCAGUGUGCCUCUGCCUUAACCUGGAGAAGACCAUCUCUAGGGCUGAGACAGGAGUUCAGUCUCCAUGACCUACUAAGCAAUUAAAAUA
Molecule: small RNA, 179 nt
Filed under: Gopherus agassizii (Agassiz's desert tortoise)
Lineage: Eukaryota; Metazoa; Chordata; Testudines; Testudinidae
Description: TUC338 (ENSGAGG00000009152.1)
Source: RNAcentral